Molecule: long non-coding RNA, 5553 nt
Organism: Equus caballus (horse)
Lineage: Eukaryota; Metazoa; Chordata; Mammalia; Perissodactyla; Equidae
Source: Ensembl
GAAAACUUCUCUGAGAAGACUUCUCUGAGAUGGGAAUGAUGGAGCAGCGGGUCCACAGUAAACGGAAGAAAGCUUGGUGUGUUCCAGGAAAAGGAGUGAGAGAGUGUUUUCAGAUAAAAAGGGUGUAAACCUGGAUGCUCUGAUUGAAGUCAUUUUAAGACUUCUGUCUGGAAAUUACACCGAGGCUAAGCAUGUGGAAAGCUUGCUGUACUCCAAACCAAAACAGCAGGGUCCUGGCUCCACAAAUCCGUUCCACCAGACAACAUUCGUCGCUUGUUAUCCAGAUAUUAUUUUAAAGCAUGUCCCUUUGUGGUCAUUGAAUUGUCUAAGAUAAGGUGAUUGGCUUAUUUGCUGUGUCUUUAUAAUGAGUAUCUUUGCCAGAAUAAUCAUAAGAAAUCCAAUACCGGGUAAUGUUUUUCUAUUUGUAGCACAGGAUUUCAAACCAAUUUCCAAAAAGUAAAUUCCUCAGCAAAUAAUGCAGAUAGGUCUUCUACUUUUUCACUCAUUGUAGUCUUAAGCAGAAAAGCAAUUUGAUUGGUAGCCCAAAUAUCAGUGCUACAAAAUGAAGCUUUCCUCAUGGGAGAAAAGAAGAGCAAUUUGGAUAAUUGGACUUGAAAUUUUACUCUGGCUUGACCCCUUCUGGGCUACGUGAACUUGACCAACACAGUUCAUCUCUAUGAGCCUCAGCUUCCUUCUCUGUACAAUGCCCACCUCACAGGGCAUUUGUCAGGAGAGAAUAAAAUUAUGCCUGUGGAAGGCUCAAACUAGCAAUGUGUGAGCUGGCUCCUGCCCAUGGAUGUGUUUUGCUUGGCUUAUACAAAGUUUCGAACUUUUAAAUUUCAUUGACAACAUUUAAAAAUUAGACAAUUCAUAUUUCUGACUUUUUGUUUUUAAAUCUAAACGCUGCAAAUCUUAAAACUGGCUGGAACUAAGUAUUGGCUCAGACACAUUCCUACCAUCGCCGUUUGUCUUCAUCCAUCCUGCCCAGUCGAUGUUUGCACUUGCAAUCCCCACUAUAAAAAAAUGUUUGAUUACCCUGGUAAUAUCCUGUUCAAGAAAAUUCUCUUAGACAAAGUGAUCUUAAGCACAAAUCAAAAUUCAGUGCUCAGUAACAGGGGACUAGUAAACAGUCAAAAAAAGGAGAGGAAACAGGUGUGUAUCUAGAUGAUAGAGCGUUUAUACAAGUAACUGGACAGUUAAACACAGACACUGGUUUAUUUCACAGAGCUGUAAAACCAACUUUUUUACAAUUGACAUGGAUUGAUAUUUUGGACAUGUGUGAGUUGGAGCCAUCCAUAGAUACGAACGAAUCAUUCAUCAGAAAAAGACCACACAGGUGGAGAUGGUGAGAAGGGGUGUCCUUGAUCUGAGGUAAGCAUUGACGGUAUUUCCUCCUAGAUCUCUCAGCACCCAUUCUCACUGACACAUCUUUUAGUUAUAUUAAGACCUUCAGUCUGGGUCUAGGCAUGUCCUGCUGGUCUUUGAAUUACACUCUCUCAUUAAGAUAGUGGUAUAUUUUUUUCUAAUCUAUUUUGAGGGAAGAACACCUCUGUUCACACUUAUGUGCUAAUAUAGUUGGGAGACUCCGGAUGGCAAUUAGAUUUCUUAUUACUCAUGUACCAAAAAGUGCAAUGGCUGAGGAGUGUGUAAGAAGGUCCUCAAAUCAUAUCCGCUGAAGCAGGAAGGAGCGGCAUGAUUGAUAAGGGAUGAGUGGGUGAGGAGGUGGGCAGGGCUCAGGGUGGUGGCUGAGGGCCAAAUGCUUGUUGAUGCUGCUUUAGAUCCUACACUGUAGCCUGGGCACUUAAAGUACAAAAAAAAAGAAAUAGUACAUAUCUGAUAAGUGUCUGCCUAAACCUUUUUCUUAUGAAAGUAGAAGGCAGAGUAUGCAAUAUCUUCUCCAGUUUUUCGGGUUUCCCUCUUAACUCAUCCAUUAUCAGCUUUCUUUACACAUUCAGGAGCAAACUGACUCCUAGAAGCCAAUUCACUGACAGUCCAUUUUGCCAAAGGCAAAUGUUUUCAACGACAAAUUCACCAAACUUCCAUUUUCGAAAACAAUUUAAAAAAAAAAUUUUAUUAGAUAAUUGAAGUUAGCAUUUUUUUUUUCCUAAAGCUUGGCACCUGUGCUAUCAUCUGUUUACAAUCUUUUUUUUCCCUUCUUCUUCUCCCUAAAGCCCCCCAGUACAUAGUUGUAUAUUCUGGUUGUAAGUGCUCUGGUUGUGCUAUGUGGGAUGCUGCUUCAACAUGACCUGAUGAGCGGUGCCAUGUCCGGGCCCAGGAUCGGAACCAGCGAAACCCCAGGGCUGCCAAAGCAGAGCGAGUGAACUGAACCACUUGGCCAUAGGGCUGGCCCUGGAGACAAUUUUUGAUGGACUACUUUUUAUCUUUGCCUAACAGCAUGCUAAGAAAUCGUCAGUAUGUUUCUACCCCUGCUUCCUGCUGCUACUAGCUGGAGAAUGAGAGAAUGGCAGGCAAAGACACAGGAGACUGGAACAUUAGGAAAAUAUUUCAUAUGGCGUCCGGGGGUCAGGAGGCCGGGAGUGGCUGUGCUGGCUCCUCCUUUCACUGCUGCUCUUUCCAAAUUUAUUCCUAAGUCAUGAAUACUAUCAUGCCGAGAAAAGGAAAGACGGUUAACUCUAGAAGAAAGAAUUCCAAGGAGGGUAUGAUGUAGGGACAGUUCCCACCAGAGGGGAAAGGCAAGUGCGAGAAGAGGAAAGGGACUUGGCAGAAUAAAUACUGAAGUAAAGAUAAAGCCUGAGACUCUCAGCAUCCCAAUGCUCCCUCCUGUGGGCUCCAGAUGCACUGAGAGGGAAACCAAGGACAAGAUGGGUGGUGGCUGAGAGUGAAUGGUGAAGAGUGAGGUGACUGCUGAGUCCCUGACAAUCGGUGCAAUAAGAAAGAGCUGAAUUGGUACCAAGACAGCAAUGUGGGAACACCAAGUCUUUACUGUGAUAAGAAGACGGCCCUUGAGUUAGAGCAUCUAUGAACACUUCAGAAAUGGAUGCAAGGAGGGCAAAGCCCAGUGCCUAGAGAACAGGCAACAUGAGCUCCAUUUCACCUAUGGAUCAACGGAAGCCGUGAAGAAAGAGAACAUGGAGACAGGAGACUCCCUGAGGCUAUGUGAGCUCCGCUUUGUGUCCAGAUGCCAUCUUUGGAAGAAGAUGAGAGAGGGAAAGCUCUUUCAGAAAGAAAUGCAAACCUCGUUUUACCCCCAAAGGAGACUGUUUACAAUAGGAGAGACUUUAUUAGUUGUAAUUAGAAAGUUUGAAAUAGUUUCUGCCAUCAGUGGAAAUGAGUGGCAAAAAGUUUCUAUUUGUUAUAGAAAUAGAGAAGCGAAAUUCCAUGCACACUUCAGGUUGUAUUGCACUAAAUUUUGAUCCUAUGCUUCAUGCAUUAUUUCAUUUAACCAUUCCAUAAACUCUAUUAUUAUUCCCAUUUUAGAGCAGACCAUACUGAGAUUAAAGGAAUCUAGAUAACUUAGGCAACAUCACAAAGCUAGUAAGUCAUAGAUGUGAAAUUCUGUUUGACCCGAAAGCUGCCUAUUUUAAUCAUCUAGUUUACAAUAGAGGAUAUAUAUUAUUUCUGUGACAAUUUAAGUGACACCAAUAGACUUCAAAUAGAGUCAGCAUAUGAAUUUGUCAUUGGAUAUUCACAGAAUAUGUUAAUUUUUAAAGUUUAAAGGAGAAUGUUGAACCAACAGUUGGUUUUCUUUUUAUCUCUGUCCUCAUCAGGACUCAGUUAUUGAUCCUGCCUACAGACAAAAAGUCAGGCUCCCAUGAAAGUGUUUUCUUCAGAAUCCUUCUAACCCCUCAGAAUGGUAUCACAUGCCUGUUUGUAAUUCUAGUGUUUGAUUCCAACAGUACUCCUUAUCUAGACCUACCACUGUGCAAGAAUGCAAGUCUAAGGAGGCAGAGUUGGGUUAAAUUCCGUCUACCCCCAUUUAUCAAGCUUUGGCAUAGACAACAUCCACCGUAUGAGCCAGUGGUGGUCCUCACAGUAUCUCUGUAUUGGAAAUGUCUGAUUGCCCAAACUCCUCUAGACUCUAGGUCCUGAAGGACUGGAACUGUCUGGCCUCUGUUUAAUCAUUUCAUCCUCUCCUGAAAUUACCUCAUUUCUAGGUGUUUUUCACACUCCAUUCUGUGUCACCCUUUUUGUUCUUUCUCUGAAUGUUAGUUAUUUUACCCAUAGGCAAAGUGCUUGACUUACUAGGCUGAACCACGAUAGGUGUAUGCUAACUACUGUCUUUUAAAUUUGGUAGGAGUGAAUGAAAAAAAGACUUUGAUAUUUUUUGAACUGCAUCCAAAUACAAAACAGAAAUCCAAAGUGUUCUUGGAAAAUAUAUCUUUUCAUGUCUUAAAACUUAUCUCCCAACAGAAUCUAUUUGGGGAGGCGUCAAUGUUCAACUCUGGCCUAGAUAUUUGCCUAAAAUUUGGAUCUUAAGCUUCAGUCUCAGCACUGGCCUUUGAGAGAUUCAUGCUGAAGAUUCAUGUGCAAUUUCAUACUUUUUCUGGUAUCCUUAUAUGCGUGGUGGUCAGAAUGAGGUGAUGACAUAGGUCACCAUCAUACCUAAACAGCAUGACCAGCUCAGUAAAAUGAGCAAGGUGUUUCAUUCUGAUUCAUUGUUCACAUAGGAAUAUUCAUUUUCAAAUACAAGUACACAUUCUAGAUGUACCUUGAAGUGAAAACUCUUCUUAUGUGCUUUGCAUAUGAUAAAACACUGGCAGUCAUUUGAAUAGAAAUGUACAUUUAGUAUUCCAAGGAUAAAAUGCUAUAAAUAUUGAGUGAUUUUGGAACUUGUUAAUGUAGUAUACCAAAUAUUGUUAAGAGCUUUUAAAUAAUUAAAAGAAGGGAACGUGAUUGGUGGAAAAUACUAGGACUACAAUAGAGGGUAUUAGCUGGAUAACUUAAGAAGAAUCUUAUAUUCUUCUUGGAUCAAACUAUAUUUAUAAAAGUUAAAUAAUGCUACAAGGCAUAAAAAGAAAGUUUCAAUUACACCAUACUUCUAAUCCUUAUGGGAUUAUUUGGUGUACUAGUAUUUGCAACCUUAAAUGGGAUAACUUUUAAGAACUGCACUUAAUUUUCACUUGGUUAAUUAUACUUAGGCCUUGAGUCUGUCAAGAAAAAGUUCUAUUGAAGAAUUGUUCCCAUUUUGUAAGAAUGAGUCAAAAGAAGAAUGUCAACUUUCCUAACUUUUUAUAGAAUGGAAAAGCAGAACAAUGUCAUGCAGUUGUCAUUGACAAUGGAACAAACAUGAAGGCUCUGAAUGAUGCAGGCAUCACGAGGAUUCAAUUUUUUCACACUCUCAGCUGUGUGUCUGAAAAGUCAUUACAGCCAUGUGUAAUAUAACAGAUUUGCUGCCUGUGAGCAGAAAGGUAGUAGACAUUUUCCCUAUUCUCUUUCAGCAGUAGAAAAGCUCCAUGACAUCCUAGAAAUGUUGGAACUCCUUGUCUGUACUUUUACAAAAUGUUCAAACAAGAUGCAAUAGUGAGUAUGACACAUUUAAAACAAAAAGAGCUUGAAAUAAAGAAAGCCUUCAUACUGAACUUUGCAAACAAG